UGCUUUUCAGAUAGUUCAGCUGAAAGAGCAUGAGACCUUUAAUCUCAGGGUUGUGGGUUCAAACCCCACAUUUGGCAA
Molecule: non-coding RNA, 78 nt
Organism: Podarcis lilfordi (Lilford's wall lizard)
Lineage: Eukaryota; Metazoa; Chordata; Lepidosauria; Squamata; Lacertidae
Source: the annotation of a GenBank genome assembly